AUACGGAGGGUGCAAGCGUUACUCGGAAUCACUGGGCGUAAAGCGCGCGCAGGCGGCUUGAUAAGUUGGAUGUGAAAGCCUACGGCUCAACCGUAGAACUGCAUCCAAAACUGUCAGGCUAGAGUCUGGGAGGGGAAGAUGGAAUUAGUUGUGUAGGGGUAAAAUCCGUAGAGAUAACUAGGAAUACCAAAAGCGAAGGCGAUCUUCUGGAACAGUACUGACGCUGAGGCGCGAAAGCGUGGGGAGCAAACAGGAUUAGAAACCCCAGUAGUCC
RNAcentral lists this ribosomal RNA (274 nucleotides) under uncultured bacterium. Its description in RNAcentral is "partial 16S ribosomal RNA". It matches the Rfam family "Bacterial small subunit ribosomal RNA", at positions 523 to 796 of the family's 1533-position model. The record is from RNAcentral.